UACAGAGGUGGCAAGCGUUGUUCGGAAUUACUGGGCGUAAAGGGCGCGUAGGCGGUCUUCUAAGUCUUGUGUGAAAUCCCUCGGCUCAACUGAGGAACUGCACGGGAUACUGGAAGACUUGAAUCCGGGAGAGGGAUGCAGAAUUCCAGGUGUAGCGGUGAAAUGCGUAGAUAUCUGGAGGAACACCGAUGGCGAAGGCAGCUUGCUGGGACGGUACUGACGCUGAGACGCGAAAGCGUGGGGAGCAAACAGG
RNAcentral lists this ribosomal RNA (253 nucleotides) under uncultured bacterium. RNAcentral describes it as "partial 16S ribosomal RNA". It matches the Rfam family "Bacterial small subunit ribosomal RNA", at positions 524 to 776 of the family's 1533-position model. The record is from RNAcentral.